UUGGCCUACGGGACGCAGCAGUGGGGGAUAUUGCACAAUGGGGGGAACCCUGAUGCAGCGACGCCGCGUGGGUGAAGGAGUGCUUCGGCAUGUAAAGCCCUAUCAGCAGGGAAGAAGAAAUGACGGUACCUGAGUAAGAAGCACCGGCUAAAUACGUGCCAGCAGCCGCGGUAAUACGUAUGGUGCAAGCGUUAUCCGGAUUUACUGGGUGUAAAGGGAGCGCAGGCGGCACGGCAAGCCUGAUGUGAAAGCCCGCGGCCCAACCGCGGGACUGCAUUGGGAACUACCCGGCUCGAGUGCCGUAG
Molecule: ribosomal RNA, 305 nt
Filed under: uncultured bacterium
Lineage: Bacteria
Description: bacterial SSU rRNA
Rfam family: Bacterial small subunit ribosomal RNA
Source: RNAcentral